This 327-nucleotide ribosomal RNA is filed under the name uncultured eukaryote. Its description in RNAcentral is "partial 18S ribosomal RNA". It matches the Rfam family "Eukaryotic small subunit ribosomal RNA", at positions 1470 to 1796 of the family's 1831-position model. The record is from RNAcentral.
CCCUUAGAUGUUCUGGGCCGCACGCGCGCUACACUGACGGAGGCAGCGAGCAUGUCCUUCGCCGAGAGGUGUGGGGAAUCUUGUGAGUCUCCGUCGUGCUGGGGAUAGAUGGUUGCAAUUGUCGAUCUUGAACGAGGAAUUCCUAGUAAGCGCGAGUCAUCAGCUCGCGCUGAUUACGUCCCUGCCCUUUGUACACACCGCCCGUCGCUACUACCGAUUGAAUGGUCCGGUGAAAUCUUCGGAUCUGAGAGAUGUUGGAUUAAUUUCUGACGCCUUUUGGAAAAGUCGCUUAAACCUUAUCAUUUAGAGGAAGGUGAAGUCGUAACA